RNAcentral lists this transfer RNA (75 nucleotides) under Marmota monax (woodchuck). RNAcentral's name for it is "tRNA.Ala". Lineage: Eukaryota; Metazoa; Chordata; Mammalia; Rodentia; Sciuridae. The record is from RNAcentral.
GGCUGUGAAUGUAGCUCAGUGGUAGAGUGUUUGCCCAGCAUGCUCAAAACCCUGGAUUCAAUCCCAGCACAGUUA